RNAcentral lists this unclassified non-coding RNA (30 nucleotides) under Dictyostelium discoideum. Lineage: Eukaryota; Evosea; Eumycetozoa; Dictyosteliales; Dictyosteliaceae. The record is from RNAcentral.
ACUUCCAAACUUCAAGCCGACUGUAGGCAC